RNAcentral lists this ribosomal RNA (253 nucleotides) under uncultured bacterium. RNAcentral's name for it is "partial 16S ribosomal RNA". It matches the Rfam family "Bacterial small subunit ribosomal RNA", at positions 524 to 776 of the family's 1533-position model. The record is from RNAcentral.
GACGAACCGUGCGAACGUUGUUCGGAAUCACUGGGCUUAAAGGGCGCGUAGGCGGGUCAGCAAGUCCGGGGUGAAAUCUUUCGGCUCAACCGGAAAAGUGCCUCGGAUACUGCUGGUCUUGAGGGAGGUAGGGGUUUGUGGAACUUCUGGUGGAGCGGUGAAAUGCGUUGAUAUCAGAAGGAACGCCGGUGGCGAAAGCGACGAACUGGACCUCUUCUGACGCUGAGGAGCGAAAGCCAGGGGAGCAAACGGG